RNAcentral lists this transfer RNA (78 nucleotides) under Aequorivita sp. RNAcentral's name for it is "tRNA-Gln". The stretch from base 12 to 67 matches the Rfam family "tRNA", at positions 10 to 63 of the family's 71-position model. Rfam says of the family: Transfer RNA (tRNA) molecules are approximately 80 nucleotides in length. The record is from RNAcentral. Lineage: Bacteria; Pseudomonadati; Bacteroidota; Flavobacteriia; Flavobacteriales; Flavobacteriaceae.
GGUACUGAAGCGUGUAGCAUGGUAGCACAGCGGUCUUUGACACCGUUAGUUUAGGUUCAAAUCCUAGCGGGACAACCA